AACGAACGCUGGCGGCAUGCCUAACACAUGCAAGUCGAACGAGACCUUCGGGUCUAGUGGCGCACGGGUGCGUAACGCGUGGGAACCUGCCCUUAGGUUCGGAAUAACUCCCCGAAAGGGGUGCUAAUACCGGAUAAUGUCUUCGGACCAAAGAUUUAUCGCCUUUGGAUGGGCCCGCGUUGGAUUAGCUAGUUGGUAGGGUAAAAGCCUACCAAGGCGACGAUCCAUAGCUGGUCUGAGAGGAUGAUCAGCCACACUGGGACUGAGACACGGCCCAGACUCCUACGGGAGGCAGCAGUGGGGAUUAUUGGACAAUGGGCGAAAGCCUGAUCCAGCAAUGCCGCGUGAGUGAUGAAGGCCUUAGGGUUGUAAAGCUCCUUUACCCGGGAUGAUAAUGACAGUACCGGGAGAAUAAGCUCCGGCUAACUCCGUG
RNAcentral lists this ribosomal RNA (433 nucleotides) under uncultured bacterium. RNAcentral's name for it is "partial 16S ribosomal RNA". It matches the Rfam family "Bacterial small subunit ribosomal RNA", at positions 29 to 507 of the family's 1533-position model. The record is from RNAcentral.